GUGCUCGUAACUCAGAUGGAUAGAGUGCGACCCUCCUAAGGUCGAAGCCGUGGGUUCGACUCCCUCCGAGCACGCCA
RNAcentral lists this transfer RNA (77 nucleotides) under Enterococcus ureasiticus. RNAcentral describes it as "tRNA-Arg". It matches the Rfam family "tRNA". Rfam says of the family: Transfer RNA (tRNA) molecules are approximately 80 nucleotides in length. Their secondary structure includes four short double-helical elements and three loops (D, anti-codon, and T loops). The record is from RNAcentral. Lineage: Bacteria; Bacillati; Bacillota; Bacilli; Lactobacillales; Enterococcaceae.